Halichondria panicea is the source of this 848-nucleotide long non-coding RNA. RefSeq lists it as uncharacterized. The record is from RefSeq and is a predicted model, not a curated record. The transcript is spliced from 4 exons. Lineage: Eukaryota; Metazoa; Porifera; Demospongiae; Suberitida; Halichondriidae.
GAGACCACGCCUUUCUACUGCCCACAGUAGAAUGGGUGUAGUCUCCAUACAAUAUAGAAGAGCUGAUUGUAGACUGAUUGGCUAGUACUAUAGUAGUUCCAUACAAGAAGAUUCAAGGAAGCUAUGGUGUAUUUAUCAGGAGGUAAAGUCCUUGAGAACAGGUCAUGGCUGAGUGUGGACGGUAUCGUUGACUUGUUCUGGGCUGUCAUUAACUUCUUUGUCUUGUUUGCUGAUCAAGGGAGACGUAUUGGUCGUGUUGGUAAGGGUGCUGGUGGUGGUGCUGGACCUCCCCCCAUGGGCGGUGGAUGAGGAAGAGCACUAGCCCUAACUGGGACAGCCCCAACAUGUGGUCAACAGACACUGCUCCAUUCUACAGUAAUGACAUCACCUCCAAUAUGAGCCCCCUACCUAUCAGCAGUGGCACCACCGACCCAACCUCACCCUCCGAGGACACCACACUCUCAGCCACCACCUAUGACCUCUUUGAGAACCAAAAGUAUCUGGAGCUUGAGCAACGCUGAUAGUUCAACACUUCUUUCCUGGGCCCAACAGAUAUCUGAACCCCCACUAAGCAAGACUGAGUAAAGCCCCCCUCUGACCUCUGCAACGAUUUGGACUAUGAAUUUUGGAUAACGAUUUCAACUUAACCUCAUUUCAAUUGAGUUGUCUGCUAUUAGCUCUAGUAUCAGCAUUUUAGCGAGUGAUUAUCUAGCCAGCUAUCUAGUUUAUUAUUGUUAUCGUGUAGCUACUAGUAGAUCGUUCAGUUGUCAUUUUGAGAGCUGUAUGUGUUUAGUAGCUAGCUGAUGACAUUAUUGUGUCUUGGCAUUAUAUGAAUUAACCAUUAACAA